AGAGGAAAAUCCGUCGACUUUUAAAAUCGUGAGGGUUCAAGUCCCUCUAU
RNAcentral lists this transfer RNA (50 nucleotides) under Melampyrum carstiense. RNAcentral's name for it is "partial tRNA-Leu". RNAcentral also lists the same sequence under 1 other name. The record is from RNAcentral. Lineage: Eukaryota; Viridiplantae; Streptophyta; Magnoliopsida; Lamiales; Orobanchaceae.